AUCCAGCUGACGAGUCCCAAAUAGAGCGAAACGCUCGUUAAACUGAAU
Non-coding RNA from Schistosoma margrebowiei, 48 nucleotides. The record is from Rfam. Lineage: Eukaryota; Metazoa; Platyhelminthes; Trematoda; Strigeidida; Schistosomatidae.